Molecule: ribosomal RNA, 577 nt
Filed under: Gloioderma sp. 1GWS
Lineage: Eukaryota; Rhodophyta; Florideophyceae; Rhodymeniales; Faucheaceae
Description: eukaryotic LSU rRNA
Rfam family: Eukaryotic large subunit ribosomal RNA
Source: RNAcentral
AUGACAAGCACUUUGAAAAGAGGGUGAAAAGAGCCUGAAACCGUUACGGGGGAAGCGGAUUGCGUUGGAUUGAACUGACGGACCUGUGUAUUCAGCCAUUUCGGUGUAUUUACCAGGACCGUGAUCUGUCGUGGCUUUUCUGCGGCUGAUAUUGAGCUGCGGGGAGGUGAGGGCUCCCCUUUAUGGGUUGAGGACGACAGAGCGACGACGCGAUACGACCCGUCUUGAAACACGGACCAAGGAGUCUAGCACUAUUGCGAGUCGAAGGGUGUUAAAACCUGUGGGCGCAGUGAAAGCGAACUGUAAAAACGAGCAGUUUGAGGCGGCAUAAAAUCGUUGAUUUUAGGUCCGACCUAGAGCAGUUGUGCUGGGACCCGAAAGAUGGUGAACUAUGCCUGAGUAGGGCAAAGCCAGAAGAAAUUCUGGUGGAGGCUCGUAGCGGUGCUGACGUGCAAAUCGCUCGUCGAACUUGGGUAUAGGGGCGAAAGACUCAUCGAACCAUCUAGUAGCUGGUUCCCUCCGAAGUUUCUCUCAGGAUAGCAGGCCGACAGACGUUGUUUUGUGCGGUAAAGCGAAU